This is a long non-coding RNA of Gallus gallus (chicken), 1286 nucleotides long. RefSeq lists it as uncharacterized. NCBI's taxonomy places the organism in Eukaryota, Metazoa, Chordata, Aves, Galliformes, Phasianidae. The transcript has 3 exons. The record is from RefSeq and is a predicted model, not a curated record.
GAAAACAAACAAACAAACAAAAAAACAGAUGCUGUUACCAAACACAGCAGAGACAGAAAGUCACAGAAGAAUGCCAAGGGAAAUUUUCAAAGAAGAGGACAGGAAUACCCAUUCUUGACAUCUCUGACAGAUCAACUAUGUUACUUCACAAAGUGCCAGUAACCUAAGACCUGCAAUUUCCAGAGCAAAGGGAAGGACAGAAUGAGUCAAUGAGAGCAAAGGUUAAACGAAUAUUUCUGUUGUCACUGAAUGGAGCUGCUAGAAAAUUCAUGACUGUCAGAAAGCUUCCUGCUUCCAGAAGGGAAAGAGCAGACAUUUCAACAAUCAGUUUCUGGCUGUUGAUCUCAGCUUUGGAUGAAAUAUCUCCUCUUUUGUGGAAUCUUACAAAGGUUUGAUAGUUUGAAUCAACCACCUGAACUUUGAACUGGAGCUACGAGCACCUUCAGGUGAUAACUUUGUUUCUUAAUUUAAUGGACAACAAAAGGAAACGAGGAUCUUUAAAUAUGCCAUAUUUUUAAUAGGAGUAAUGUGCAAUGUUUCCCACUUCAUUUGUCCUAGUGAAUCAUGAAAGAAAAGGAAUAGAGAGUAAAACAUGAGAUUAAAUGCAGUAGCUAUAAACUCAGGGUAUGAGAAGGUGUUUAAAAUCAAUUUAUUUUAUUGAGCAUAAAAAGUACACCUUGACAUCUGCCAGUGAGAUGAAAACUAUGAAAAAGGAUGUUGUACAAAACUGGUUACAGCAACUUUACUGCUUUAAAGAGGUUCUUAAAGAACUCAGUUCCUAGACAACUGUAGGAUAUACAAAGUUUGGUGUAGGGCUUACACUGAUUUUGAAAACCUGUAGCAUCACUAUGAAAAUUGUGCUGUCAUUUUAGAUCUCCCACAAAACCAUAAUUUAAUUGGCAGUUAUGCAAAUAGAAAAUAUCAGCUUAGAAAACCUUUGGAAUUUGCACUGCAGAAAUAAGUAUCUUCUGUUUCCCAUUUGCUGGUGGUAAGCAGAAAGGCAGUUUUUUGAAAAUACAGAUUUAGGGGUAAGUAUGAUUAUUUUAUUUAGCUUAAUACUUUGUUUUCAGGUAACACAUGCAUAUUGCACUCCUACAAUGUAAUGGGUCUCUGGAGGCUCCUUAGUAAAUCUGGAGAGAUAGUAUUCCAGCGUUAGCAUGGGUUUUGAAUUAAAAGCACUAUAUAUUUUAUUUGAGGCAUUUUUCAGGAUGGGGAUGGGUGUGAGUAGUGGAUAUUAUGAGCCUAGUAAAUUGUGAAAAAGUUAACGUCUUUAACUUAAAAAAAAA